CAAGUCGAGCGAGGCGGGUAGCAAUACCCAGUCGAGCGGCGAACGGGUGAGUAACGCGUGGAUACCUGCCCUUCAGCGGGGAAUAACCCGGGGAAACUCGGGCUAAUACCGCAUACGACCGAGAGGUGAAAGGGGCCCGCAAGGGUCUCACUGAAGGAGGGGUCCGCGUCCGAUUAGCUAGUUGGUAGGGUAAAGGCCUACCAAGGCGACGAUCGGUAGCCGGCCUGAGAGGGUGAUCGGCCACACUGGAACUGAGACACGGUCCAGACUCCUACGGGAGGCAGCAGUGGGGAAUUUUGCGCAAUGGGCGAAGGCCUGACGCAGCAACGCCGCGUGGAGGAUGAAGGUCUUUGGAUUGUAAACUCCUGUCAGCAGGGAAAAAGGGAAGUGACCUCAUACGUCACUGACUUGAUUGUACCUGCAGAGGAAGCCCCGGCUAACUCUGUGCCAGCAGCCGCGGUAAUACAGAGGGGGCAAGCGUUAUUCGGAAUUAUUGGGCGUAAAGGGCGCGUAGGCGGCCAUUCAAGUGACGGGUGAAAGCCCUCGGCUUAACCGAGGAACUGCCUGUCAGACUGGAUGGCUCGAGACCGGGAGAGGUGAGUGGAAUUCCCAGUGUAGCGGUGAAAUGCGUAGAUAUUGGGAGGAACACCAGUGGCGAAGGCGGCUCACUGGACCGGAACUGACGCUGAUGCGCGAAAGCGUGGGGAGCAAACAGGAUUAGAUACCCUGGUAGUCCACGCCGUAAACGAUGAGUGCUUGGUGUAGCGGGUAUCGACCCCUGCUGUGCCGAAGUCAACACAUUAAGCACUCCGCCUGGGGAGUACGGUCGCAAGACUGAAACUCAAAGGAAUUGACGGGGGCCCGCACAAGCGGUGGA
RNAcentral lists this ribosomal RNA (877 nucleotides) under uncultured Acidobacteriota bacterium. Its description in RNAcentral is "bacterial SSU rRNA". It matches the Rfam family "Bacterial small subunit ribosomal RNA", at positions 58 to 936 of the family's 1533-position model. The record is from RNAcentral. Lineage: Bacteria; Pseudomonadati; Acidobacteriota.